GUAGUCGUGGCCGAGUGGUUAAGGCGAUGGGCUUGAAAUUCAUUGGGGUCUUCCUGUGCAGGUUUGAAUCCUGCCGAUUAUG
This is a non-coding RNA of Danio rerio (zebrafish), 82 nucleotides long. Lineage: Eukaryota; Metazoa; Chordata; Actinopteri; Cypriniformes; Danionidae. The record is from Rfam.